This is a small nuclear RNA of Nycticebus coucang (slow loris), 164 nucleotides long. RefSeq annotates it as U1 spliceosomal RNA. The transcript has a single exon. The record is from RefSeq and is a predicted model, not a curated record. NCBI's taxonomy places the organism in Eukaryota, Metazoa, Chordata, Mammalia, Primates, Lorisidae.
CUACUUACUUGGCAGGGAUGAUACCAUGAUCACAAAGGUAGUUCUCCCUGGGUGAGGCUCAUCCAUUGCACUCUGGAUGUGCUGGCCCCCGCAAUUUCUCUAAAUGUGGGAAACGUGACUGCAUAGUUUGUGGUAGUGUGGGACUGUGUUCACACUUUCCCUUG